Molecule: long non-coding RNA, 486 nt
Organism: Metopolophium dirhodum (rose-grain aphid)
Lineage: Eukaryota; Metazoa; Arthropoda; Insecta; Hemiptera; Aphididae
Exons: 3
Source: RefSeq, a predicted model, not a curated record
UAGCUAACAAUCAACAUGAACCGUCUGUCAAUUGUUUUGGUUAUUGCAUUUGUCAGUUACUCACUGGGUGCACCGGAAAACAUUGAAUCGCACAGUGCACACAUAAAUCAUGACUUAGAGCACAGCGGUGACCAUGAACUUGAGAAACAGAAUGGAUAUGGAGACGGAAAUGUAAACAAUGAUCCAUCUGCAUAAGAAAAUCCAAUUCAUGAUUUCGGAUGCGGUACUUCCAAACGUGACGCAUAUUGUCGUAAUAAUUAUUGUAAAAAUUAUUGUGAUUCGAGAACUAAAAGAUGUAGGCAGUGUAUACUUAAUUGUCUAUGGAGACAUUAAUGAAUUUGAUAUAGUUAAAUUGUAUUAUGUAACCUAUAACCUAACCUAUAUUUGGGAUUAUUAUGUUAUUAUUAUUAUAUUUAUUAUUUUUGUUAAUUUAUUUGUAUACGAAGAAUGUAAUUAUGUAGUCAAUUAAUUUAAUUUUAUGCAAUU